GGCCAAGUUUUUAAGGGCGCACGGUGGAUGCCUUGGCACCAGGAACCGAUGAAGGACGUGGGAGGCCACGAUAGUCCCCGGGGAGCUGUCAACCA
RNAcentral lists this ribosomal RNA (95 nucleotides) under Streptomyces anulatus. RNAcentral's name for it is "partial 23S ribosomal RNA". It matches the Rfam family "Bacterial large subunit ribosomal RNA", at positions 1 to 95 of the family's 2925-position model. Lineage: Bacteria; Bacillati; Actinomycetota; Actinomycetes; Kitasatosporales; Streptomycetaceae. RNAcentral also lists the same sequence under 4 other names. The record is from RNAcentral.